RNAcentral lists this ribosomal RNA (106 nucleotides) under uncultured bacterium. Its description in RNAcentral is "partial 16S ribosomal RNA". It matches the Rfam family "Bacterial small subunit ribosomal RNA", at positions 1396 to 1500 of the family's 1533-position model. The record is from RNAcentral.
GUCCACACCAUGAGAGUUGGAAAUACCCGAAGCCUGUGAGCUAACAGUAAUGAGGCAGCAGUCGAAGGUAGAGCCAAUGAUUGGGGUGAAGUCGUAACAAGGUAGC